UGGGGAAUAUUGCACAAUGGAGGGAACUCUGAUGCAGCGACGCCGCGUGAACGAAGAAGGCUUUCGAGUCGUAAAGUUCUUUUAUAUGGGAAGAUAAUGACGGUACCAUAAGAAAAAGCCCCGGCUAACUACGUGCCAGCAGCCGCGGUAAUACGUAGGGGGCUAGCGUUGUCCGGAAUCACUGGGCGUAAAGGGUUCGCAGGCGGAAAUGCAAGUCAGGUGUAAAAGGCAGUAGCUUAACUACUGUAAGCAUUUGAAACUGCAUAUCUUGAGAAGAGUAGAGGUAAGUGGAAUUUUUAGUGUGGCGGUGAAAUGCGUAGAUAUUAAAAAGAAUACCGGUGGCAAAGGCGACUUACUGGGCUCAUUCUGACGCUGAGGAACGAAAGCGUGGGUAGCAAACAGG
RNAcentral lists this ribosomal RNA (403 nucleotides) under Fusobacteriota bacterium. RNAcentral's name for it is "Fusobacteria bacterium partial 16S ribosomal RNA". It matches the Rfam family "Bacterial small subunit ribosomal RNA", at positions 355 to 776 of the family's 1533-position model. Lineage: Bacteria; Fusobacteriati; Fusobacteriota. The record is from RNAcentral.